GGGGACAGGAGGCUCUUCCCAAUGCCACAGAGUCACUGUCCACUCAUAAUACUGGCCCCAUUAGUGCAGCCAUAAACAAAAAAGAAUUUCUGUAUUCUAUUUCUGCAUCCUGAAGCUAGAAAAUUAAGUCUGCAGCCUUUGCAAAAGUGUCGUAAUAAAGGAAUUUGUGCACCAAGUUUUUAUACUAACCUCCUCUUGGUAAACCGACACAGCUCCUGCAUGCCAAGGUCCCUUCCAGUUCAGCACAUCUAUGAUACUCCCCCUCAAAUGCAUUUUUUCUUCAGAGCUCAAGGGUGGGGUUGGCGUUUUUGCCUCACUGGGUUUGUGGGAGACCCAGCUGCAAAAUCAUUAAUUGCUUUGGUGAGUCAACAAAUAAACAAUGACAGUCAGCUACUGUUCCCAUACUGCAAGGUCAUAAGAAGUUUCUGGACUUCUCUGCAAAAUCUUGUUAAAAAAAAGGAUCCUCACGGCCCUUAAAACUUCUUUAGUACGGAAAAUUACAAACAUAUGCACAAGAAGAGAGAAUUGUGUAAUAUAUCCCCCCAUGAACCUAUCACUUCACUUUGAUAAUUACCAACUUAAGGUUUAUAAUGUUUUAUCCAUACCCCUGCUUACCAUCGUCCCCGGAUAAUUUUGAAGAAAAUUUCACUUACGGAUGAAAGAUAAUCUCAUCUGUAAAUAUUUCAGUAAUUGCACCUUCUUUAUGACCAACAUAGUACAUCUCUCCAGGGGAAAAGAACUUCCUACCUCCCCCCAUGAUGCCAAGAACAUUUGACCAGUCUGCAUCUGUGUCCCAAGGCUGGUCUCUAAGUUAGGCAAGCUCAAGGGUUUGGUGAAUUCUGCCCAAAGUCUGUCCUGCUCCCUGGAGACAAAGGGACAUACAUAAAAUGUCACGCAGAGGCACUGCCCUGUGCAAGAUUUUGAGUAUUAGCUGAGCUGCUGCCCAAUAACUGAAAUGAGACCCAAACUAAGAGGCAGAAAUCAUCGUCGUGAGUCCCAACUGGCCUCAGCAUUUUUCACGGUGUUAUUUCAUGCAGCUUUCACCAAUUCUGAUUUUACUUCUAUCUUAUAGAUAAGAAAACUGAGCCCAAGGUCACACAGCUAGUCGAUACCCAAGGCAGAAACUGACUAGAUGCUAAUCGAACUCCGUUCUUUUUCAUGGGCAUAGCUGGAUUACAUUUCCCAGGUUCCCUUGCAGUCAGGUUUGGCCGUGUGACUGAGUUCUGGCCAAGGCAAUAUAAGCCAGUCCCAUAAAAAAAUAAAACAUCCAGGGCAAUCCUACAUGUUCUCUUUCUUUCUCCGUCCACUGGCUGAAUGGAGAGAAUUUCUAGGCCCAAGGGAGGAUGGAGCCACAGGAAGGAGGGAGCCUGGAGGACUGUGUGGAGCAGAUACCUCUCUGAACCCUCACUGGAUUGUGAAAGUCACCAAGGAGGCAAGUGGAGCCCUGUAAAUCUCUCACAAACAGCGAUGCCCAGAGACCUCUGCUUUUUGACCCCAGCCAGCUGCUCAGAACAAAUGCCACUAAACCCAUGGAACAUGCCCUGCUCCCACCUGCCAUGCUCUCAUCAUCUGAAAGGGGGGCCUGAUAUGCAGAUGAGGGUGUGGCAGUCACAAUCCAGGCUGGUGCCAAGGUAAACCAUGGGUCUUCCCUUCACUGGAUUAUUUUUAUGGGGAUCAGAGCAGAGACAGGCAGUGGACUCCAACUCCUGAGACAACAUCACAAUAAAUUGCCAUGGUGGCUCUUCUAUGGUUCAUGACUAGUAAAUCAAAUCUAUUGAACAAUACAUUUACUGCAAA
Molecule: long non-coding RNA, 1797 nt
Organism: Neofelis nebulosa (Clouded leopard)
Lineage: Eukaryota; Metazoa; Chordata; Mammalia; Carnivora; Felidae
Exons: 2
Source: RefSeq, a predicted model, not a curated record